CCAAUCGAACCCGGAGAUAGCUGGUUCUCCUCGAAAUAGCUUUAGGGCUAGCCUCAUGAGAGUCUUAUGGAGGUAGAGCACUGAAUUGCCUAGGGGGCGUCAAAGCUUACCAAAGCAUAUCAAACUCCGAAUGCCAUCAAGAUGAUUCAUGGGAGUCAGACCAUACGAGAUAAGUUGGAUGGUCAAAAGGGAAAGAGCCCAGACCUACAGCUAAGGUCCCAAAGUGCGUGUUAAGUGGAAAAGGAUGUGGGAUUUCGAAGACAACUAGGAUGUUGGCUCAGAAGCAGCCACACAUUCAAAGAGUGCGUAAUAGCUCACUAGUCGAGAGGUCCUGCGCCGAAAAUGUCCGGGGCUGAAACACGACACCGAAGCACAGGAUACCGCAAGGUAUGGUAGAGGAGCAUUGCUGGCGCGACGAAGCAGUACCGUAAGGAGCUGUGGAGUGCCAGGAAGAGAGAAUGCCGGAAUGAGUAGCGAGAGAGAGGUGGGAAUCCUCUCGGCCGAAUAUCCAAGGUUUCCAGGGUAAAGCUGAUCUGCCCUGGGUAAGUCGGGGCCUAAGGAGAGGCAGAAAUGCGUAUCCGAUGGACAGCAGGUUGAGAUUCCUGCACUAUCUUAAAACAGAACUGUGGGGACAUUUGUGGAGAGCACAGGCGCGGAACGGAAAGCCGCGUGCAAGCGAAGGAGGAGUCACAUAGGAAAAACCGUGUGGCAAUCCAAAGGCGUGAUGCGGACCGAACUAAAGUAGGGAAGUGUGUGAGCCAUGAAUCAAGAAAAGCCGCUAUUGUUUUUAAGAUACCCGUACCGUAAACCGACACAGGUGGAUGAGGAGAGAAUCCUAAGGCCGGCGGAAGAAGCAUUGUCAAGGAACUCGGCAAAAUGGCCCCGUAACUUAGGGAUAAGGGGUGCCUGGGAAACCAGGCCGCAGAGAAUAGGCUCAAGCAACUGUUUAGCAAAAACACAGGUCUAUGCGAAACCGAAAGGUGAGGUAUAUGGGCUGACGCCUGCCCGGUGCUGGAAGGUUAAGAGGAGAGGUUAGCGGUAACGCGAAGCUUUGAAUUUAAGCCCCAGUAAACGGCGGCCGUAACUAUAACGGUCCUAAGGUAGCGAAAUUCCUUGUCGGGUAAGUUCCGACCCGCACGAAAGGCGUAAUGAUUUGAGCGCUGUCUCGACAAUGCACCCGGUGAAAUUGAAGUACCAGUGAAGAUGCUGGUUACCUGCGCCAGGACGGAAAGACCCCAUGGAGCUUUACUCCAGUCUGGUACUGGGACUCGGUAUUGCAUGUACAGGAUAGGUGGGAGGCUAGGAGAUGGUAACGCCAGUUGCCAUGGAGCCGCUGUUGGGAUACCACCCUUGCAGUAUUGGGUUUCUAACCAGCCGCCGUGACCCGGCGGUGGGACAAUGCCAGACGGGGAGUUUGACUGGGGCGGUCGCCUCCGAAAGGGUAUCGGAGGCGCUCAAAGGUUCCCUCAGAAUGGUCGGAAACCAUUCGAAGAGUGCAAAGGCAGAAGGGAGCUUGACUGCGACACCG
This 1528-nucleotide ribosomal RNA is filed under the name human gut metagenome. RNAcentral describes it as "bacterial LSU rRNA". It matches the Rfam family "Bacterial large subunit ribosomal RNA", at positions 829 to 2383 of the family's 2925-position model. The record is from RNAcentral.